RNAcentral lists this ribosomal RNA (254 nucleotides) under uncultured bacterium. RNAcentral's name for it is "partial 16S ribosomal RNA". It matches the Rfam family "Bacterial small subunit ribosomal RNA", at positions 524 to 776 of the family's 1533-position model. The record is from RNAcentral.
UACGUAGGGGGGCUAGCGUUGUCCGGAAUCAUUGGGCGUAAAGAGCGUGUAGGCGGCCCGGUAAGUCCGCUGUAAAAGUCAAAGGCUCAACCUUUGAAUGCCAGUGGAUACUGCCGGGCUAGAGUCCGGAAGAGGCGAGUGGAACUCCUGGUGUAGCGGUGGAAUGCGCAGAUAUCAGGAAGAACACCAACGGCGAAGGCAGCUCGCUGGGACGGUACUGACGCUGAGACGCGAAAGCGUGGGGAGCGAACAGG